UUUGGCGAUAAUAAUGCAACAGGCCAAGUGAAAUGUCGUAAUGCCGAUGGUAGUGUGGGGAUUCCCCAUGUGAGAGUAGGUCAUCGCCAAUU
RNAcentral lists this ribosomal RNA (92 nucleotides) under Gallibacterium salpingitidis. The record is from RNAcentral. Lineage: Bacteria; Pseudomonadati; Pseudomonadota; Gammaproteobacteria; Pasteurellales; Pasteurellaceae.